This 22-nucleotide ribosomal RNA is filed under the name Nodulisporium sp. JP3821. RNAcentral describes it as "partial 18S ribosomal RNA". RNAcentral also lists the same sequence under 3 other names. Lineage: Eukaryota; Fungi; Ascomycota; Sordariomycetes; Xylariales; Xylariaceae. The record is from RNAcentral.
CGUUGGUGAACCAGCGGAGGGA